RNAcentral lists this ribosomal RNA (520 nucleotides) under uncultured Acaulospora. Its description in RNAcentral is "SSU rRNA". It matches the Rfam family "Eukaryotic small subunit ribosomal RNA", at positions 569 to 1088 of the family's 1831-position model. Lineage: Eukaryota; Fungi; Glomeromycota; Glomeromycetes; Diversisporales; Acaulosporaceae. The record is from RNAcentral.
AGCAGCCGCGGUAAUUCCAGCUCCAAUAGCGUAUAUUAAAGUUGUUGCAGUUAAAAAGCUCGUAGUUGAAUUUCGGAAUCUGUCCGUCGGUCGGGCUUCACUGUCCGUACUGGCGUGAUGGGUUUCUACCUUCUGAAUAACCGGCAUGUCAUUAAUUUGGUGCGCCGGGGAAGCAGAACUAUUACCUUGAAAAAAUUAGAGUGCUUAAAGCAGGCUAUCGCCUGAAUAGAUUAGCAUGGAAUAAUAAAAUAGGACGGCAUGGUUCUAUUUUGUUGGUUUCUAGGAUCACCGUAAUGAUUAAUAGGGAUAGUUGGGGGCAUUAGUAUUCAAUUGUCAGAGGUGAGAUUCUUGGAUUUAUUGAAGACUAACUUCUGCGAAAGCAUUUGCCAAGGAUGUUUUCAUUAAUCAAGAACGAAAGUUAGGGGAUCGAAGACGAUCAGAUACCGUCGUAGUCUUAACCAUAAACUAUGCCGACUAGGGAUCGGACGAUGUUAAUUUUUUAAUGACUCGUUCGGCGCCU